AACGAACGCUGGCGGCAGGCUUAACACAUGCAAGUCGAACGCAUCCUUCGGGGUGAGUGGCAGACGGGUGAGUAACGCGUGGGAACGUGCCCUUCAGUUCGGGAUAACCCAGGGAAACUUGGGCUAAUACCGGAUACGUGCGAGAGCAGAAAGAUUUAUCGCUGAAGGAUCGGCCCGCGUCUGAUUAGCUAGUUGGUGGGGUAAUGGCCCACCAAGGCGACGAUCAGUAGCUGGUCUGAGAGGAUGAUCAGCCACAGUGGGACUGAGACUCGGCCCAAACUCCUGCGGGAGGCAGCAGUGGGGAAUAUUGAACGAUGGGCGCAAGCCUAAUCCAGCCAUGCCGCGUGAGUGAUGAAGGCCUUAGGGUUGUAAAGCUCUUUCGUCCGGGACGAUAAUGACGGUACCGGAAGAAGAAGCCCCGGCUAACUUCGUGCCAGCCGCCGCCGUAA
RNAcentral lists this ribosomal RNA (449 nucleotides) under uncultured bacterium. RNAcentral's name for it is "partial 16S ribosomal RNA". It matches the Rfam family "Bacterial small subunit ribosomal RNA", at positions 29 to 523 of the family's 1533-position model. The record is from RNAcentral.